CUUCAGCUUUCCACACUUUGUCCUUAUGAAUGCUGAGUUACCACAAGGCCUGACGACACGCUGCUGCUGCACCAGGCAGGACGGGACGGCGGGCUUGUCUGCACUGCUGGAAAGCAAGCAGCCAGGAACGGGCAUGCACAAGCAACCUGCAGAGCUCGGUGACCACAUUUCUUUGGUGUCUGCUGCCCAGCUGGAAAAGAGGUGUGCCUCUCAGAGUGUGCAGCCCUGAGGACCACAGAGGGAGGUGGGAGCAGCACCGUGGAAGGCAGAUGGAACUUGACGAUGUUGGCAAUACGUCUCCAUGCAAAAAAACAAAGGUGUGUUUAUAAAGGCAUGUGCCAGGUUAAAGAGACAAAUGCUGUAUCAUACAGAGGUUUACAUUAAAGAGAGGA
RNAcentral lists this long non-coding RNA (392 nucleotides) under Gallus gallus (chicken). RNAcentral describes it as "long non-coding RNA NONGGAT009459". Lineage: Eukaryota; Metazoa; Chordata; Aves; Galliformes; Phasianidae. The record is from RNAcentral.